Molecule: ribosomal RNA, 253 nt
Filed under: uncultured bacterium
Lineage: Bacteria
Description: partial 16S ribosomal RNA
Rfam family: Bacterial small subunit ribosomal RNA
Source: RNAcentral
UACGUAGGUGGCAAGCGUUGUCCGGAUUUACUGGGCGUAAAGAGCGCGCAGGCGGUCAGAUAAGUCGAAUGUGAAAGCCCCCGGCUCAACUGGGGAGGGUCACGCGAUACUGAUCGACUCGAAGGCAGGAGAGGGUAGUGGAAUUCCCGGUGUAGUGGUGAAAUGCGUAGAGAUGCGGAGGAACACCGAUGGCGAAGGCAGCCCCCUGGGCUGACACUGACGCUCAGGCACGAAAGCGUGGGGAGCAAACAGG